AACCCGACCCAAAUCUACAUUAGUACGCACGCCAUCUCCAGCUCCAGCCAUUGUAUUGUACAUUUCUGUUCGUCUCUGGCAUCUGAGAAGGAAAAAUGCAGACCGUUGCUAAGCGAUUAAGCCAACAAUCUCUAAAGCCCUCACCUUCGAUUUCAUCUUUCCAGUCCAUUUACCCUCCAUCUGAUUACUAUUAUGGAGUUGAUCAUCCUAGGUACGGAUCCACUUUGGUCCCCGGCAAGGGCGUGGGCCACCUUAUUCGCAAGGGCACUGGUGGAAGAUCCUCUGUUAGUGGCAUUGUAGCUACAGUGUUUGGUGCUACUGGAUUCCUCGGUCGCUAUGUUGUGCAACAACUUGCCAAAAUGGGAUCUCAAGUGUUGGUUCCUUUUCGGGGUUCUGAGGAUGAUCCUCGUCAUCUUAAGUUGAUGGGAGAUUUGGGACAGAUAGUACCAAUGAAAUUCAACCCAAGGGAUGAAAACACUAUCAAGGCUGUAAUGGCAAAGGCAAAUGUUGUAAUCAAUCUUAUAGGCAGAGAGUACGAGACCAGAAACUAUAGCUUUGAGGAAGUGAACCAUUUUUUGGCAGAACGAUUUGCCAUGAUUGCAAAAGAACAUGGUGGUAUCAUGAGAUUUAUUCAAAUUUCUUGCUUGGGGGCGUCUGUAUCAUCUCCCUCAAGAUAUCUUAGUGCUAAAGCUGCCGCAGAGGAAUCUGUUUUGAGAGAAUUACCUGAGGCCACAAUUAUGAGACCUGCUGCAAUGAUUGGAACAGAGGAUAGGAUAUUGAAUAGGUGGGCACAGUUUGCUAAAAAAUAUAGCUUUCUUCCACUUUUUGGGGAUGGAUCUACCAGAAUCCAACCUGUAUAUGUUUUAGAUGUUGCUGCUGCAAUUGUUGCAGCCUUAAAAGAUGAUGGCACCAGCAUGGGAAAAGUCUAUGAGCUGGGUGGACCAGACAUCUUGACUCAACAUGAAUUGGCAGAAAUCAUGUAUGACAUGAUCCGUGAAUGGCCUCGCUAUGUGAAAGUUCCUUUCCCUGUUGCAAAGGCAAUUGCAAUGCCUCGAGAAAUAUUACUUAAGAAAGCUCCUUUUCCUUUACCAAAUCCCGAUAUCUUCAAUCUCGACCAAAUCAUUGCCCUUUCUUCAGAUACAAUUGUGUCAGAAAAUGCUUUAACUUUCAAGGAUCUGGGGAUUGUGCCACAUGAGUUGAAGGGUUACCCAAUUGAAUAUCUUAUCUCAUAUCGAAAGGGCGGUCCACAAUUCGGUUCUACAGUCAGUGAAAAAGUUUCGCCUGAUUCUUAUCCAUGAUAUUCAGAGCUUUUUAUUUCAAAAAUGUUUUUUUUGGGGUCAAAAAGCGAUCCAGUUGGAACUUGGAAAUGAUAUGUGGUACUUUUAUGUCUUUUCUACCACAAAAUGACAUGUUUCUGGAGAGGAGCAUAUUUCCUUUGAGACUAUGCAAUAAUAAUGGUGUGAAAGGCUCUUCAAUAAUGGGAUAUAUAUUUACCAAUAAAUUCUAGCCAUUCGUUUUCUUUAGAAAUUUUCCAGAUGAUUUAUUUUGGCUGACUUUGGAGAUCUGCACUUUCCUUCAUGUAAAGGAAUUGUUUUUGCAUUUGUUCCCGUGUCAUCUUUUCAGUAUCACUUAUGCUUUUGGUAUCCUCAAUAUUGUUGUUUCAAGUGUAAAACUUAAUUGAGCUGUUGAUUCACAAAUCCUCUCGCCAUUACUUAUUUGGCUGCUUGGAUUAUAUAUAUUCGUAUCUUGGUAAGAAAGUCCACUUCAUCAA
RNA transcript from Mangifera indica (mango), 1771 nucleotides. It is a transcript of the gene named NADH dehydrogenase [ubiquinone] 1 alpha subcomplex subunit 9, mitochondrial, with no coding region annotated. The record is from RefSeq and is a predicted model, not a curated record. Lineage: Eukaryota; Viridiplantae; Streptophyta; Magnoliopsida; Sapindales; Anacardiaceae. The transcript is spliced from 13 exons.